This 280-nucleotide ribosomal RNA is filed under the name uncultured Burkholderiales bacterium. Its description in RNAcentral is "partial 16S ribosomal RNA". It matches the Rfam family "Bacterial small subunit ribosomal RNA", at positions 505 to 784 of the family's 1533-position model. The record is from RNAcentral. Lineage: Bacteria; Pseudomonadati; Pseudomonadota; Betaproteobacteria; Burkholderiales.
GUGCCAGCAGCCGCGGUAAUACGUAGGGUGCGAGCGUUAAUCGGAAUUACUGGGCGUAAAGCGUGCGCAGGCGGUUAUAUAAGACAGUUGCGAAAUCCCCGGGCUUAACCUGGGAAUGGCGCUUGUGACUGCACGACUGGAGUGCGGCAGAGGGGGAUGGAAUUCCGCGUGUAGCAGUGAAAUGCGUAGAUAUGCGGAGGAACACCGAUGGCGAAGGCAGUCCCCUGGGCCUGCACUGACGCUCAUGCACGAAAGCGUGGGGAGCAAACAGGAUUAGAUA